GGGGAUGUUCUGGUUUUGACAGCAUCGAUGUUGGAAGGUAAGCACGCCGGGACCUGUAGGUUAUCCCGUUAAUCAGGACCUUCGAAAAAUCAGUUGCCAAAAACAACUUCGCACUCGCUGCUUAAUUAGACCAAGUCUAAAAGCUUAAUCCGCGUCGCCAAGGCUGCGACGCCGACGAGUAUCCCUCGGACUUUCCGCCCGUUAUUGUCCGGCCCAGGGGUAUCAUUCAGAACGGGAUGCACCGGAGGACGCCUUUAAAUCCGGCCAAGUCCCAAAGGCUAAGGGAUGGUUCGCCCGUCAUCCGGCAGGCCCUCCCCUACAACCAAAGGAUGAAUAAGCGUGUAGAAAGCCCUCGGGCACGUUGUUUGGACGGCGGUUCGAAUCCGCCCAUCUCCAC
Molecule: transfer-messenger RNA, 397 nt
Filed under: bovine gut metagenome
Rfam family: transfer-messenger RNA
About the family: Bacterial tmRNA, also known as 10Sa RNA or SsrA, is named for its dual tRNA and mRNA-like properties. Its role is to liberate the mRNA from a stalled ribosome.
Source: RNAcentral